Molecule: transfer RNA, 71 nt
Filed under: Bos taurus (domestic cattle)
Lineage: Eukaryota; Metazoa; Chordata; Mammalia; Artiodactyla; Bovidae
Also listed under: 5 other names
Rfam family: tRNA
About the family: Transfer RNA (tRNA) molecules are approximately 80 nucleotides in length. Their secondary structure includes four short double-helical elements and three loops (D, anti-codon, and T loops).
Source: Rfam by way of RNAcentral
UCCUGGUGGCUCAGAUGGUAAAGCGUCUGCCUACAAUGCAGGAGACCUGGGUUCAAUCCCUGGGUCAGGAA